RNAcentral lists this unclassified non-coding RNA (4522 nucleotides) under Leishmania donovani. RNAcentral's name for it is "gene:LdHU3.32.1260(CDS-product:vacuolar_proton-AT Pase-like_protein_putative)". Lineage: Eukaryota; Euglenozoa; Kinetoplastea; Trypanosomatida; Trypanosomatidae. The record is from RNAcentral.
AAGAGUUCAGCUGCGUAUUUCUAUCGGUCCUACCACGUACAGUCAAAAAUACAUGUCGACGUACUUGAGUUGCGUCAUCACAACUCUCCACUCCCUCCCUCUCCUGCCAUCACCUGCACACACGACCCACUCGUUUUCACGCACGCACACCUUCUCGGGCUCCACCACCGUACACAUAAACGAGGUGGAGUCGACUCUACUCCGCGUCCAUGCUUGGAGGUAAUCAGCGUUCUCUGAAAAGAAAGAAAAAAGCGGUGCCUCCCUCCCCCCUGGCGAGUGCGCAGAGACUACAGGGCCCAAGAGGACGACACCGAAGCACUCCCCCCCCCCCACACACACACACACGCUUCCCCUUCCCCCUUUCGCGUCUGCUCGCACUCGCCGUGUGCGUGUGCGUUUUCUUGUCCACAAUUCGAGGGUUAUCAGUUUUCUCUUGGGGGAUCGAGGAAAGAAAGAAGUACGUGCGAGCGCGGGCGUGUCUCUCGGGUGUGUACCGAGCAGUCAGAAAACCUCUCUCCUCGCACCCUUCCGUUCUCUCUUUCUUUCUUCCGGGGAGAAGGGUGAGCUGCGUGCCUGCUAGGCGCUGUUUAGACUUCUCGUGUUCCCAGGGCGUGCCUCUGCUUAGUGAGACCGCGGUGGGCCUCUGUUGUGUUUUCUUGUCGUGCCCUUGUUGUGCACUUUUUCACUCCUAUUGGCACUGAAGCGCCUCCAUCUCUCUGUCUGUUUUUCUGUAUCAUUGUGUGUGUGCGUGUUUGUGCGCUCGCACUUUUUCCGUUGUCCUCUUCGCGAGUUGACGAUCACUUCACUUGUGAAGGAUAAGAACGAGGCCGAGGAAGGAGUCGCAGACGUGGGACAGGAUAGGAAGGAAACACCCGUCACGCGCUUGGCUGCUGUGGCUUUUUUUUUUUCGGCGGCUGCUGUUGACUCGCGGUAACUCCGUAGCUUGCGAUUGCGUUUCGGUGCGUUCUUUCGACGGCUGAGUGUGACAGCUGCUGCUGCUGCUGUUCCUCUUUUUGGGUUUUUCAUGUUUUUCUAAACAUCACUGGAUGGCAGCAAGGCCACGCAGCCCUCUUGAACGCUUUCUACUGGGCACCCUAACCUCCUUGUUCCUGCUCUCGCCGCUUUUCCGCUCUCGCAUCAACUCCUUUUCCCCGCGCUGCUGUGCUGGUGUUACGCGACGCAUUCCGCAGUAUUCAUUCUUGUCUUGUAGUUUUAUUUUUCUCUGCUUCAUUUUUCAAGGGCACAGAAAACAACGUAUACGCACGCAGCAACCUUCUCGUGUACUGCCCUCGUUUUUUUUUUUUGCAUUGGCCCAUAUUGUCACUAUGCCGUGGCGUCAGGAACAUUGCAGCGGCUUGUGGCGGUCGGAGGACAUGAUCCGCGUCAACAUUAUCCUUCAGCGAGAGGUCCUGCACGACACCAUGUAUGAGGUUGGUAUGCUGGGCCGCGUGCAGUUCCUCGACAUGAACGAGGGGGUUACUGCGUUUGCCAGGCCGUUCACAGAAGAGCUGCGCCGCUGCGAGGAGCUGCAGCGCAAGCUUCACUUCAUUGAGGAGUCGAUGUGCAAGGACGCGGACUUGCUCGAGAGAUACCCCGGGGACGUGAACAUGAGCGCCACCGUGGAAGAGAUGCGGUCAUCGUUGCUGCGGGGACAAAUGCACAUGAUCGACGACCGCAUCGAGUCGACCGUGAACGAGUUGACCGCAAUGCUCACAUCGCUCGAAGGGUUCCAGCAUGAGAUGAACCAGAACCAGGAGAUGUCACUGCUGUACUACAAGUACAGGCUCUUGGUGGAGACACCGUCCGACAUGGCAGCGAGCAACAGCAGCUCCCCCCACCACGGCGCUGCCGUCAGCUCGGAUGCGUUCUCCCGGCUAGCCAGCCUCUUCGGCUUCAUUGAAUCAAAACUCAGCGAGGAGCUCUACCGCCUCUGCUACCGCAUCACCCGCGGCAACGCCAUCGUCGAGAUCAGUAACGAGCCGGCCAUGUUUGUCGACGUCCAGACUGGCGAGCGCAAUGUGGCCAAGACGUCAUUUGUGGUGCUGUGCGCCUCGCCGACGAUGAUCGUCCGCUUGAAGAAGCUCAUGAUUGGGCUCGGCGCCGACGUUUACACCCUGGACGAGGUGCAGAGUCGCGGUAUCGAGCUCACCACCUCCACCACCGCCCACCACGUCGAGGACACCAUCGAGGGGGUCGAGCGGCGCAAGCGCGAUGUGCUGACGCAGUGGUACGAAGAGCACCGGCUGUACAAGACCUACCUAAAGGUAGAGAAGGUGGUGCUGACGGCGAUGAACAUGUGUGCCAUGUCCGGCUCCACCUGCACGGCCUCCGCGUGGGUACCACUGCGCCACGAGCAGUCCCUUCGCCGUGCGCUGCAAGACGCCGUCGCCUCGGCAAACGGCAGCGUCGAGUCCAUAGUGACGCUCCACGCCGAGCAGAAACACCCGCCGACGUUUUUUGAGACUAACCGCUUUACCGAGUCGUUCCAGGGAAUUGUCGACAGCUACGGUAUGGCACGCUACAAGGAGGUCAACCCGGGCGUGUUCACCAUCAUCACGUUCCCGUACCUGUUCGGCAUCAUGUACGGCGACAUUGGCCACGGCUUUCUGCUGCUCUUCAUCGCCCUCUUUUUCAUCGGCAAGGAAAAAGCGUGGCGGACGGCGCAGCUCAACGAAAUAGUUGCCAUGGUGUUCGGCGGCCGCUACUUAUUGCUGCUCAUGUCCCUCUUUGCCAUCUACAUGGGAGUCCUGUAUAACGACUUCUUUGGCUUUUCUCUGAACCUCUUCUCCAGCGGCUACACGUGGGCCCCGAUCUCGGAGCAGAAGGGCACCACCUACCCGACGACGCCGAACGGGCUUCCAAGUGUGAAGCCGCCGCACGUUUAUGCGAUAGGUCUGGAUGCGGCAUGGACUGAGACAGACAACAAGCUGGAGUUCUACAACUCUGUGAAGAUGAAGCACGCUGUCAUUGUCGGCGUGGCGCAGAUGUUCGCUGGCCUCUUGCUCUCGCUCAGCAAUAGCAUCUACGAGAAGAACUGGUACAAGAUCGCCUUCUUGUUUGUGCCCGAGUUCGUUUUCCUACUUUGUACCUUUGGAUACAUGUCGAUCCUCAUCAUGGUGAAGUGGUGCCGCACGUGGGAGAACACGAACAAGGCGCCGAGCAUCCUGGAGAUCAUGACGAACUUUUUUCUGCAGCCUGGCUCGGUGCCGAACCCGCUCUUCAGUGGACAGGCCGGGCUGCAGGUGUUUCUGCUCCUCGCGGCUUUUGCGAUGGUUCCGUUCAUGCUGCUGGGAAUGCCAUACAUCGAGAUGCGGGACUACAAGCGGUGGCAGCAGCGCCGGCAAGUUGGGGGCAGCCGCCGCCACCACGGCAGAGCGCUGCGGGUCAGCGUGGUCGCAAUCGAAACCUCAGACUACACGGACGUCUUCUUGAAUGAGCCGUCGGCGUCCCUGCAGCACCGGCAGGCCAACUACAGCGGUGACGAGAGCGCGCACCGCAAUUUGAUGAGUGACGACGACGAAACGGCGAACAUCUUCGGUGACGACAGCAUGCAUCCCUUUGGCGUGUCUACAGCGAACAGUGAGGAAGGUGCCACAGCCACGGUGAUCGAGCGCGAAAACGAGAAAUUCGAGCACUUUGAUGUCUCGGAGUUGAUCAUCCACUAUGUGAUUCACACCAUCGAGUAUGUGCUGAGCAGUGUGUCAAACACCGCCUCGUACCUGCGUCUGUGGGCGUUGUCGCUCGCCCACGCGCAGCUUUCCGAGGUCUUCUUCAGCUUCACGGUGGCCAAAACGCUCGACAUCGACAACAGCUCUGGCUUCGUGAUUGCCAUUGGGGUGCUGCUGUGGCUUGGCGCGACACUCGGUGUGCUGGUGGGCAUGGAGGCGCUGUCGGCGUUUUUGCAUGCGCUGCGUCUGCACUGGGUGGAGUUCCAGAACAAGUUCUACGCUGGCGACGGGCGGACGUUCGAUCCGCUGGACCUGACAACCCUCAACACGGGAAACUAGCGUGGCGAGCGGAGGAAUGGAAGGCGGCGUUUUCAUGGUCACCUGCUCUGGGAUGAGUACAAUGCAGGUGGAACCAGGCACGCCAUUGAAAUCGUUUUCCCCCUCUUUUGCGCGUGUGUGGAAGUAUCAGGGAACCCGAGCGGAAACCAAGGGGCACAAGAGCCCGCGAAAGGUGCCAUCGGUGCCACUGGCGUAACCCACGUCUUUCCCUUACCAGCUUUCCGCCAUCGCCUCCUUUUCCCCGCUCCCCGCUUCCGCGUUUUGCCCCACCGCCUCCUGUCGUUUUGCUGCUCUCUUUUUCGCGCCUCAUUGGCGAUGAGCGCUGCGGACAGCUCUGCUCCCGAAUUGCGUACACAACGUCAGUGAAGUGUGUGAGUGUCUCCCUCUCGGCCUGCCGUUGGCGUCUUCCUCUCGUUUUGUUUUCGGCGAUGUGUUUGUUUCGGUGCUCCCUUUCUCCUGUGUCGCCGUACUUUGCUCGAUGGCUUGCGGCGUCGAGGCACAUCUCACGCAUUCAU